Molecule: ribosomal RNA, 460 nt
Filed under: uncultured bacterium
Lineage: Bacteria
Description: partial 16S ribosomal RNA
Rfam family: Bacterial small subunit ribosomal RNA
Source: RNAcentral
CCUACGGGGAGCAGCAGUGAGGAAUAUUGGUCAAUGGACGAGAGUCUGAACCAGCCAAGUAGCGUGAAGGAUGACUGCCCUAUGGGUUGUAAACUUCUUUUAUAUGGGAAUAAAACGUUCCACGUGUGGGAUUUUGUAUGUACCAUAUGAAUAAGGAUCGGCUAACUCCGUGCCAGCAGCCGCGGUAAUACGGAGGAUCCGAGCGUUAUCCGGAUUUAUUGGGUUUAAAGGGAGCGUAGGUGGAUUGUUAAGUCGGUUGUGAAAGUUUGCGGCUCAACCGUAAAAUUGCAGUUGAAACUGGCAGUCUUGAGUACAGUAGAGGUGGGCGGAAUUCGUGGUGUAGCGGUGAAAUGCUUAGAUAUCACGAAGAACUCCGAUUGCGAAGGCAGUUCACUGGACUGCAACUGACACUGAGGCUCGAAAGUGUGGGUAUCAAACAGGAUUAGAUACCCUGGUAGUC